Molecule: ribosomal RNA, 908 nt
Filed under: Deladenus bonabensis
Lineage: Eukaryota; Metazoa; Nematoda; Chromadorea; Rhabditida; Sphaerulariidae
Description: SSU rRNA
Rfam family: Eukaryotic small subunit ribosomal RNA
Source: RNAcentral
CUCUUUGAGGCCGGUUAUCGGAAUGGGUACAAUCUAAACCCUUUAACGAGUAUCUAUGAGAGGGCAAGUCUGGUGCCAGCAGCCGCGGUAAUUCCAGCUCUCAAAGUGCAUGAAACCAUUGUUGCGGUUAAAAAGCUCGUAGUUGAAUCUAGGCCUUGGGCUUGGUCCACUCUUUGAGUGCGUACUAAGUUCCUUGGCUUUUCGUCGGUUUUCUUGUCGUGGCCUUCAUUGGUGGCGGCAAGUGGCUGACAGUUUUACUUUGAACAAAUCAGAGUGCUCAAAACAGGCGUUUCGCUUGUAUGUUUUUGCAUAGAAUAAUAGAAUAUGACUUCGGUUAGAUUUUAUUGGUUUUAUUGACCGUAGUAAUGAUUAACAGAGACAAACGGGGGCAUUCGUAUUGUUGGGUGAGAGGUGAAAUUCUUGGACCCUAGCAAGACGACCUACAGCGAAAGCAUUUGCCAAGCUUGUCUUCAUUAAUCAAGAACGAAAGUCAGAGGAUCGAAGGUGAUCAGAUACCGCCCUAGUUCUGACCGUAAACGAUGCCUACUAGCGAUUCGCCGGUGGAUUUUUUUCUCUGGCGAGGAGCUCCCCGGAAACGAAAGUCUUCCGGUUCCGGGGGAAGUAUGGUUGCAAAGCUGAAACUUAAAGGAAUUGACGGAAGGGCACCACCAGGAGUGGAGCCUGCGGCUUAAUUUGACUCAACACGGGAAAACUCACCCGGCCCGGACACCGUAAGGAUUGACAGAUUGAUAGCUCUUUCAUGAUUUGGUGGAAGGUGGUGCAUGGCCGUUCUUAGUUCGUGGAGUGAUUUGUCUGGUUUAUUCCGAUAACGAGCGAGACUCUGUCUUACUAAAUAGUCCGCUCAUUGGUAUUGUGAGCGGUACUUCCUAGAGGAAUUUUCGGCGUUU